UUAAGCGACUAAGCGUACACGGUGGAUGCCCUGGCAGUCAGAGGCGAUGAAGGACGUGCUAAUCUGCGAUAAGCGUCGGUAAGGUGAUAUGAACCGUUAUAACCGGCGAUUUCCGAAUGGGGAAACCCAGUGUGUUUCGACACACUAUCAUUAACUGAAUCCAUAGGUUAAUGAGGCGAACCGGGGGAACUGAAACAUCUAAGUACCCCGAGGAAAAGAAAUCAACCGAGAUUCCCCCAGUAGCGGCGAGCGAACGGGGAGCAGCCCAGAGCCUGAAUCAGUGUGUGUGUUAGUGGAAGCGUCUGGAAAGGCGCGCGAUACAGGGUGACAGCCCCGUACACAAAAAUGCACAUACUGUGAGCUCGAUGAGUAGGGCGGGACACGUGGUAUCCUGUCUGAAUAUGGGGGGACCAUCCUCCAAGGCUAAAUACUCCUGACUGACCGAUAGUGAACCAGUACCGUGAGGGAAAGGCGAAAAGAACCCCGGCGAGGGGAGUGAAAAAGAACCUGAAACCGUGUACGUACAAGCAGUGGGAGCCUCUUUAUGGGGUGACUGCGUACCUUUUGUAUAAUGGGUCAGCGACUUAUAUUCUGUAGCAAGGUUAACCGAAUAGGGGAGCCGAAGGGAAACCGAGUCUUAACUGGGCGUUAAGUUGCAGGGUAUAGACCCGAAACCCGGUGAUCUAGCCAUGGGCAGGUUGAAGGUUGGGUAACACUAACUGGAGGACCGAACCGACUAAUGUUGAAAAAUUAGCGGAUGACUUGUGGCUGGGGGUGAAAGGCCAAUCAAACCGGGAGAUAGCUGGUUCUCCCCGAAAGCUAUUUAGGUAGCGCCUCGUGAAUUCAUCUCCGGGGGUAGAGCACUGUUUCGGCAAGGGGGUCAUCCCGACUUACCAACCCGAUGCAAACUGCGAAUACCGGAGAAUGUUAUCACGGGAGACACACGGCGGGUGCUAACGUCCGUCGUGAAGAGGGAAACAACCCAGACCGCCAGCUAAGGUCCCAAAGUCAUGGUUAAGUGGGAAACGAUGUGGGAAGGCCCAGACAGCCAGGAUGUUGGCUUAGAAGCAGCCAUCAUUUAAAGAAAGCGUAAUAGCUCACUGGUCGAGUCGGCCUGCGCGGAAGAUGUAACGGGGCUAAACCAUGCACCGAAGCUGCGGCAGCGACACUAUGUGUUGUUGGGUAGGGGAGCGUUCUGUAAGCCUGUGAAGGUGGCCUGUGAGGGUUGCUGGAGGUAUCAGAAGUGCGAAUGCUGACAUAAGUAACGAUAAAGCGGGUGAAAAGCCCGCUCGCCGGAAGACCAAGGGUUCCUGUCCAACGUUAAUCGGGGCAGGGUGAGUCGACCCCUAAGGCGAGGCCGAAAGGCGUAGUCGAUGGGAAACAGGUUAAUAUUCCUGUACUUGGUGUUACUGCGAAGGGGGGACGGAGAAGGCUAUGUUGGCCGGGCGACGGUUGUCCCGGUUUAAGCGUGUAGGCUGGUUUUCCAGGCAAAUCCGGAAAAUCAAGGCUGAGGCGUGAUGACGAGGCACUACGGUGCUGAAGCAACAAAUGCCCUGCUUCCAGGAAAAGCCUCUAAGCAUCAGGUAACAUCAAAUCGUACCCCAAACCGACACAGGUGGUCAGGUAGAGAAUACCAAGGCGCUUGAGAGAACUCGGGUGAAGGAACUAGGCAAAAUGGUGCCGUAACUUCGGGAGAAGGCACGCUGAUGCGUAGGUGAAGCGACUUGCUCGUGGAGCUGAAAUCAGUCGAAGAUACCAGCUGGCUGCAACUGUUUAUUAAAAACACAGCACUGUGCAAACACGAAAGUGGACGUAUACGGUGUGACGCCUGCCCGGUGCCGGAAGGUUAAUUGAUGGGGUCAGCCGCAAGGCGAAGCUCUUGAUCGAAGCCCCGGUAAACGGCGGCCGUAACUAUAACGGUCCUAAGGUAGCGAAAUUCCUUGUCGGGUAAGUUCCGACCUGCACGAAUGGCGUAAUGAUGGCCAGGCUGUCUCCACCCGAGACUCAGUGAAAUUGAACUCGCUGUGAAGAUGCAGUGUACCCGCGGCAAGACGGAAAGACCCCGUGAACCUUUACUAUAGCUUGACACUGAACAUUGAGCCUUGAUGUGUAGGAUAGGUGGGAGGCUUUGAAGCGUGGACGCCAGUCUGCGUGGAGCCGACCUUGAAAUACCACCCUUUAAUGUUUGAUGUUCUAACGUGGACCCGUGAUCCGGGUUGCGGACAGUGUCUGGUGGGUAGUUUGACUGGGGCGGUCUCCUCCUAAAGAGUAACGGAGGAGCACGAAGGUUGGCUAAUCCUGGUCGGACAUCAGGAGGUUAGUGCAAUGGCAUAAGCCAGCUUGACUGCGAGCGUGACGGCGCGAGCAGGUGCGAAAGCAGGUCAUAGUGAUCCGGUGGUUCUGAAUGGAAGGGCCAUCGCUCAACGGAUAAAAGGUACUCCGGGGAUAACAGGCUGAUACCGCCCAAGAGUUCAUAUCGACGGCGGUGUUUGGCACCUCGAUGUCGGCUCAUCACAUCCUGGGGCUGAAGUAGGUCCCAAGGGUAUGGCUGUUCGCCAUUUAAAGUGGUACGCGAGCUGGGUUUAGAACGUCGUGAGACAGUUCGGUCCCUAUCUGCCGUGGGCGCUGGAGAACUGAGGGGGGCUGCUCCUAGUACGAGAGGACCGGAGUGGACGCAUCACUGGUGUUCGGGUUGUCAUGCCAAUGGCACUGCCCGGUAGCUAAAUGCGGAAGAGAUAAGUGCUGAAAGCAUCUAAGCACGAAACUUGCCCCGAGAUGAGUUCUCCCUGAGACCUUGAGACUCCUGAAGGAACGUUGAAGACGACGACGUUGAUAGGCCGGGUGUGUAAGCGCAGCGAUGCGUUGAGCUAACCGGUACUAAUGAACCGUGAGGCUUAACCUU
Molecule: ribosomal RNA, 2902 nt
Filed under: Escherichia coli KOEGE 71 (186a)
Lineage: Bacteria; Pseudomonadati; Pseudomonadota; Gammaproteobacteria; Enterobacterales; Enterobacteriaceae
Description: bacterial LSU rRNA
Rfam family: Bacterial large subunit ribosomal RNA
Source: RNAcentral